This 1135-nucleotide long non-coding RNA is filed under the name Mytilus galloprovincialis (Mediterranean mussel). Lineage: Eukaryota; Metazoa; Mollusca; Bivalvia; Mytilida; Mytilidae. The record is from RNAcentral.
CAAAGAUGUAAAACUUAAAAAAAACACAUUUAAAAUGCUAAAAUUAUGACUUAAUACCAUUAAACUUUAAUUCUGAUCUUUACUUAAUGAUAAAAACAUACCAAAUAACAGUUUUGUUCUAAACAGUUAAAAUAACAAUGGAGAGGUUACACAGGAACCAUUUAACAUUCUAAGUAAAGCUAAAAGUGUCUGACCUCAUAAGUUCAAGUACAUGUAUUUUAAUAUCAUAAACACUUAUAACAUAAUGUUCUAUUUCUAAUUAACAAUAUCAAAUGAGUAUAUUUUCAGUUAAUAAAGAGUUAUUUUUAAACAAAAUUACUUCCAGUUUGUAUUUCAGUGAAUUAAGUAUUGACUCAUUAACAAAUUACUUCCUGAUUCUAUUUCAUAUCAUUUAAUCUGGGAACUGAAAAAUCAUAUAUCUGACAAAUGCACAAUAAAUCGAGGUACAUUUAACUGUAUUAUCUAUAUAAAAAUAUAACAAGAAUAGUAAAACAAACGAGGCACAUAAAAAAUAAAUGUCCUCAUUACAUCAUCCUACUAAGAGCAACAUUGGAGCCAUGGUAAAUUAUCUAAAUGAACAAACCUUUUCAGACUUAUAGUCCCAAUAGGAAAAAAGUUCUUAAGGAUAUAUAUCUAUAAUACUAAAAUUACGAGGUCCAAUUUGUCAGCCGUCAUCACGUAAAAACGAUGAAUCAAAAAAUUCAACUUUAUAUAUAACUAAUAUAGUACAAAGGUGUAGAUUAAAAAUUACACCACUCCAGGCCCUUUUGUUUUCCACGUAAUUAAUAUUGCCAAUAAUUAAAAAGUUCCGGGUCGAGUCCGAUACCGAUACCAAUAGUAUAUUCACCUGUUACCGAUUACCUUAUCUGUAUGUUCCGCAUCUGACAGGCGCACCACCAAACGGUGUAUUCAGGAUUAAUAUGCUUUAUAGUAUUACACGGGUCAUAAUCACAGGGUUGACACUACUUAAUUGUCAAAUUGUUACCUAUUGUAGUAUUUUAAUCAGCUGAUCAGUUAGACUUUCUAAGAUAACAAUACAAAUACUAAAAAAAUCUGGACUAAAAUAAGGCGUAUAGGUACAGUUUUCAAUUUGUUAUCGAAUCAAAGAAUUCAAUAUUUAUAACUAAUAUAGGAC